This 525-nucleotide ribosomal RNA is filed under the name uncultured bacterium. RNAcentral's name for it is "partial 16S ribosomal RNA". It matches the Rfam family "Bacterial small subunit ribosomal RNA", at positions 355 to 871 of the family's 1533-position model. The record is from RNAcentral.
UGGGGAAUUUUGGACAAUGGGCGAAAGCCUGAUCCAGCAAUGCCGCGUGUGUGAAGAAGGCCUUCGGGUUGUAAAGCACUUUUGUCCGGAAAGAAAUCCUUGGCUCUAAUACAGUCGGGGGAUGACGGUACCGGAAGAAUAAGCACCGGCUAACUACGUGCCAGCAGCCGCGGUAAUACGUAGGGUGCAAGCGUUAAUCGGAAUUACUGGGCGUAAAGCGUGCGCAGGCGGUUUGCUAAGACCGAUGUGAAAUCCCCGGGCUCAACCUGGGAACUGCAUUGGUGACUGGCAGGCUAGAGUAUGGCAGAGGGGGGUAGAAUUCCACGUGUAGCAGUGAAAUGCGUAGAGAUGUGGAGGAAUACCGAUGGCGAAGGCAGCCCCCUGGGCCAAUACUGACGCUCAUGCACGAAAGCGUGGGGGAGCAAACAGGAUUAGAUACCCCUGGUAGUCCACGCCCUAAACGAUGUCAACUAGUUGUUGGGGAUUCAUUUCCUUAGUAACGUAGCUAACGCGUGAAGUUGACCG